Fragaria vesca subsp. vesca is the source of this 1699-nucleotide RNA transcript. RefSeq lists it as uncharacterized. The record is from RefSeq and is a predicted model, not a curated record. Lineage: Eukaryota; Viridiplantae; Streptophyta; Magnoliopsida; Rosales; Rosaceae. The transcript is spliced from 2 exons.
AUGCGGAGAGAGACGCUAUUGCUGCCAUUUCCAGGAGAAUAUCUGAAGCUUUGGAGUUGUUGGAGAAAGGGAGGGACUUUCAGGCCAGCGGUGACUUUGACACAGGUGAUUGAGAAGUACAAGGAAUUUGCAUUUUCAGACAAUGCAAGAGUAGGCAGGGCACUGACUUUGUAUGAAGUUGGCAAUAGAAAUGAUGCAAUUGCAGAGAUGGAGGAUGUUUCCAUAUCUUUGAAGGGAUAUCCAGGUACUGCAUAGAUAUCCAGGUAAACUAGAAACUUGUAGUUGAGGGGUUGAAGGUGGGAGAGAGGGGGUAGAAAUUUUCUCAUUCAAUUUGCAGAUGAUACCAUCUUCUUCGUUUCUGGAGAUAAAACAAAUGGCAGAAUUUGCUAGAUAUUCUGGAUUGCUUCAGUGCAGUGUCUGGGCUAAAAAAUUAAAAAACAGAAUGUGAGGUUGGCCUUUGGAAGAACGCAGGUCUAAGAGGUAAUCCUAGAGCUGCAAACUGUUGGAAGCCAGUGGUGGAAAAGGUUGAAAAACACUAGUUGGAAGAAAGCUUUCCUUUCGAGAGGGGGUUGUGUUUCCAAUGUAUGACAUAUUCCUGUUCAAAAUCCCAGAAGUGGUGGCAAGAAGGAUAGAAGACCUCAUGAUGGAGAAGAGAAGGCAAGAGAGGGCAUUUAUCAAGAUGGGAAGUAGUCUCUCAGCCCAAAGAAUGAGAAGGUCUGGGAGAUGCUAAUGUGGCUCAUAGGAGAAUUUUCUUGUUAGCCAAAUGGUCUGGUGAUUUCCAAUUGAAUAAAAUUUACCAUGGUAGAAAAUGACAAAAAGAAAGUAUGGGGUUCAAGAAAAUGGCUGUAGAGACUCAAGUAAAAUCCCAUGAAGGUUCAUUCCCAAUGUAUGGGGAAUUCUUAGUUGUACAAAGUUAGGAGUGGAAGGAGGUUCUGGGAGGGCAAAUGGCUGUGAGUAUGGUCCUAAAAGAUUAAUUCCGAGAUUGUAUUGCUUGUUAAGAUACUUGCAAUGAGUUGGGAUUUGGUUUUACCGUUUUAGAAGGAAUUCGUUUGACACGUGAUUGAGCAAUUGAUUUCAUGGGCAGGGGUUCUGGUGAAUAAUAUCAGAGUUGAUGCUGUGGAAGUUGGAAAUCUAGAGCGGACUUUUGUUGUAAAUCCUUUUUCAGGUUUUCAUGUGAAGAUUUUAGUGAAGCUGAAAUGGCAUGGUAUUCUCUGGCGGGGUGUUUUUGAGACGGGAAAAGGGAAAAGUUUUGUAAACUUGCAGUACUUGGUAAAUUGGCAGGAGGGGAUUAAGUUUAUAUUUGAGGAUUAUAUUUAAGUUGAUACUUGGUAAAUUGGAAAUCGCGGUUUAAGUCUAGCAAAUAUGAAGAUAUUGCCUUGGUUUGAAACAUUCAAGGCAGCAUUAACCAACAUGGAUCGUCCUACACGGCUGGCCACCUCACUAUGCACACCCAUAGUUUCAUCGAGUACUGCACAAGUUCGACUUUGAAAGGCCCUUGACCAUGCCGCUGUCACCAACUUAACUCUGAUGCUAACCGGUUUAGGAACCCAUGGAUAGUGAAGUUUGAACACAUACAAGGUCGCAUUCGUUGAACAAGCAAAGUGAGAAUAGUAAAAGUUGUUGAUAAACAAAUAGGAGGGGUAAGACCUUUUCAGAAAAUGGUGGGAGGUUAAGAUGUAACCACAAGAGAGAAGUUUCU